CUUGUACUCCCUCCGUCCCAUAUUAAGUGACUCAAAUUUGUCUAAAUAUGAACGUAUCUAUAUACAAAAAUACGUCUAGAUACAUGUAAUAUUUUGGCACCUAAUAUGGGAUGGAGGGAGUAAUAA
Molecule: non-coding RNA, 126 nt
Organism: Brachypodium distachyon (stiff brome)
Lineage: Eukaryota; Viridiplantae; Streptophyta; Magnoliopsida; Poales; Poaceae
Source: Rfam